GUGAUCUGCCUGCCUUGGCCUCCCAAAGUGCUGGGAUUACAGAUGUGAGCCACUGUGCCCGGCCAACCCUUGCUUUACUGAAGGUAAUAACUCAGAGGCAUUCAAUGGGAAGUCAAAAAGGAGAAAAUAUGUAUGAAUGUACACACAGUUGAUCCUCAUUGUUUGCAGAUAUCAUAUUUGUAAAUUUGCCUACUUGGUAAAAUUUAUUUGUAACCCCCAAAUCAAUACUCAUGGUUCUUUUUCAGUCAUUCACAGACAUGUGCAGUGAUGGAAAAUUUGCAUCAUCUAAUGCACAUGUUCCCAGCUAAACAAGGUGAUACUCUGCCUUCGUGUUUCAGUUGUCAUACUGUAAACAAGGUCCUUUUUGCAGUCCACUUAAUGCUAUGUGUUGGGGCUUUUUUGUUCCUGAUUUUACCGUUUAAAAUGGUGCCCAAGCCAUUGUGUAGAAGUGUUGUCUAUGGUUUCUAAAGGCAAGAUGUACCGUAUGAGAAAAUCUGUGUGUCAGGUAAGCUUUAUUCAGGCUUGAGUUAUAGUGCCAUUGGUUGUGACUUCUAUGUUAAUAAAUCAAAAGUAUAUAUUAAGUAAGGUGUCUUUAACAGAAACACACAUAAAGUGAGAUUAUAUAUUGAUUGAUUGGUGAAAAUGUUGUGACCAGAAACACAUAGGAACUUAACUCUUUUUUUCUCUAGGAGCAGUGGGUUCAGUGUUGGCUAAUGCAGUGUUCACCACAACUUUAUUGGACAUAACUAGUGCAGAUAAUUAGAAUCAACUGUACAUGUGACUAUAUUUAAACAAUAAAGAAAAAGCUAUCUUGGUUUAAUAUCAGGACAGGGCUUUAACCACAGAGGUCUAUUAUGUAAAGGGGUAAACACAUUGUUUUCAUUCCUCUUAGUUGAAAGGAAAGAACUCAGUUUUCAAGUACUGUUUGAGGAGAUAUACCUAAUCUAUUGGAAAGCUGUUUUUCUCAACUGGGACCCUUCUAACUGUAUCUUUUCUAGCUUCUCUGAAAUGAUAAGCCAGGGUUUAUUGGCUUCAAUGAAAUAUUGAAAGCUAAGUAGCACUAGCUUCAUAGGAUGUAGUGAAAAAUAACACAUGUUGAAAUCCACAGUCUUGUCACAGACCACCUUUGUUACCUUCCUCCCAUUUAUUGUCCUCAAGCCAAACUAAGCACAACUUUGAGCUGCAACAGCAGAUCCAACAACUACAUGGGGAUGGGAAGUGUGAGGAGGCAUCCUCCACAUCCAGGGCCCUGCUUGCAUCAUUCCAUUUGACUUUUGCUUUGCUCAAGCUUGGCGCUGUGUUGCCAGCAGCAAAUAUGCUGACUGAAAACUGUCACAACAGCAAUCAUUACAAUCCAGGAGUUGAGUUUGACUGGAACAUAUGUCUUCAAUUUUAAUAGCUCAGCUUCCCAGAUGCCCUAAAGGAGUAAUAUUGCCUGAGAAGGAGCUUUUCAUGUAAGAAUAAUUUGUGUUAAGUAGCUCAGUGAUCUGUUUGUUAAGUUACAGCUGACAGUUUGUUUAUAUUUCUAAAGGGGCAUGAUGAAUGGGGGAGAAGUUGAUGCUAAUUAGCCUAAAUUGUUCCUAAGAAUGUAGAGGGGUUUGCCAGUUUCAUUGUUUCUGUUUCUUUGCACAUUUUAAAUAAUUGAAUGGAGCUUAGACCAUUCAUCAUAAUUUCAGGCAAGAUGGAAAUAAAUGAAUUUAGCACGGGUCCACAUGUGUGAUGGAAGAUGUCACUUUAAAGGGCAAUUAAAUAAGACAUCAACUUGGGGCUAAAGCAGACUAUUUUAAUCCAUUUGUAUAAAAAUAUCAAACAUGAAAGUUUUCAUUUACUCCAUUAAUUAUCUUCAUCAUCAUAGGACACAGACCUUCUUUUUGAAAACCCACCUAUUCCCAUUAAAGAAGUAAUGGUGUUGUAUAAAAUUUGAGCCUUUGGCUUCUGGACAAAAGAUCCGUGGCCUUACUCUCUAAGACAGUCUCCUCCCCUCCCCUGAUGUCAUCAAAUGGCUUUGAGAAACCUGUUUGCUGUUGGGCUCAUUGCCUGACCAGGUGGAAAAUGAAAAAGGCAGCAGAAAUGUUUUUGAAAAUUGGAAUUCAUAUAGUAGUGUCCCUUCUAUAGUCAGAGCUAAUAAGGUUCCAGUAGAACAUAUUUUAGAUAUUUCUCAAGAGUUCACCUGUAUGUAUUUCUCACAUAUAACCCAUGCUGGGUUACAUGGUGAAAUGGUCUUUAACUUAGGAUGAAACUUCCUAUCUGAAUUGCUACAGCACUUCCUCUAGGUAGGAAGGUUAAUGUGAAUGGGAAUUUCAUAAGACUGUAGAAUAAUAUAUAUAUAUAUACGUUUUGUUAACACACAUAUUUUGAGAAUUAAAAUAAGAAAAAUGAACCUAAAUUUAGAAAGUCUGAUUUUUUCCAACCUUUUAAUCCUCAUUGGAGGCCAUUCUUUUUUAAUUUAUGCACAUAAAAUACCACAGGAAGAGAUGGUAUAAAUUUGUGGACUGUGGAGAAUGAGUGAACAUUUUUGAAUCAGGAUCUUUAAAAGGGGUGAAAUUUGAGUAUGAUUAAGUUAGGAAAAAGCCUCGCUUACGGCGGAAGUCAGAGACUCUGUAUACGUUAUGGGCAUGUCAUGGCUUUUAAAAAGUUAUGUUAGACUUCUAUACAAAUUGUGAAGGAAUUUGUAUAACCCCAAACAAAAUUCUGUGUGGUUCUGAACUUUUCCUAAGUUGAAAAGAGAGAGAGAGAGUGAGAAAGAAAUAUUGCUGGUUAGUAUUCUGAUCAGGGACAAACCUUACUGUCAGGUGGGCUAGUCGUUUGCACUGUCUGGGUGUUUUCUUGGUUACUAAUUUUCUCGGAAGGAAAUGAUCCUAUGGCUUAUGCUAGCCAUGUUUGUGCAUAUAUGCUCUGCAAUUGGCAUUUAUUAAGGAGACCUUCAGUUUGAUGGAUGACUGUCAAGAGCUGAGCUUGCUGGCUUUAAAGACAGUUGAUUUUGCUUGAAUUUUGUUAUAUUAACUCAUUAGAACUCUGCAUUGCUUCAACUUACUCUUUGUUUACUUUCUUACAAUUAAAAUUUUAGAACAAUUGAUUUUUAGAGACUUGGCAGGAGCCCAUUUUACACUUGGAGACUUAGUCUGACAGAAAAAUAUGCACCAGAACAAAUAUUCAUAAUAAAAGCAUGACCAACUGCUCCUAUCACCAGCUUACCCUUGGGUACUAUUAAGGAGGAUUAUAUCAUUUGAGAUCUAGAGAAAGAGCCUCCUAAGAAGAAAGAACAGAAAUGCUAAAACCUUAUAUCACAAGCAAGUUUGAGAUUUUUAAGGAAUUGAGAUAAGGCCAUUAUUGUAGCUAGAGCAUAGAGGUGAGGGUGCAUGGUAGGACGUAAAGUGGGAAGGACUGCCUUUAUAGUAGUGCCUUUUAUCUAGGCCAACCACAGGAUUAAUGGUUCAAACUGUGGCACUUCUGAGAGUGAAAGAGACCAGUUUUAA
Molecule: long non-coding RNA, 3476 nt
Organism: Sapajus apella (tufted capuchin)
Lineage: Eukaryota; Metazoa; Chordata; Mammalia; Primates; Cebidae
Exons: 2
Source: RefSeq, a predicted model, not a curated record